Molecule: ribosomal RNA, 422 nt
Filed under: uncultured Flavobacterium sp.
Lineage: Bacteria; Pseudomonadati; Bacteroidota; Flavobacteriia; Flavobacteriales; Flavobacteriaceae
Description: bacterial SSU rRNA
Rfam family: Bacterial small subunit ribosomal RNA
Source: RNAcentral
UGAGGAAUAUUGGUCAAUGGGCGCAAGCCUGAACCAGCCAUGCCGCGUGCAGGAUGACGGUCCUAUGGAUUGUAAACUGCUUUUGUACGGGAAGAAACCCUCCUACGUGUAGGAGCUUGACGGUACCGUAAGAAUAAGGAUCGGCUAACUCCGUGCCAGCAGCCGCGGUAAUACGGAGGAUCCAAGCGUUAUCCGGAAUCAUUGGGUUUAAAGGGUCUGUAGGCGGUCUUGUAAGUCAGUGGUGAAAGCCCAUCGCUCAACGGUGGAACGGCCAUUGAUACUGCUGGACUUGAAUUAUUGGGAAGCAACUAGAAUAUGUAGUGUAGCGGUGAAAUGCUUAGAGAUUACAUGGAAUACCAAUUGCGAAGGCAGGUUGCUACCAAUGGAUUGACGCUGAUGGACGAAAGCGUGGGUAGCGAACA